CCCACACCCAUGUGUAUAGAACCCCAAAGGAUCACCAUUAAAUUUGGCACAGAUCUCUAAAAAAGUUAUCACAUGGAUGUAAGACUUACUUUUUUAAAGAUCUGUGCCAAGUUUAAUGGUGAUCCUUUGAGGUUCUAGAUACAUGGAUGUGGA
Molecule: microRNA precursor, 153 nt
Filed under: Amborella trichopoda
Lineage: Eukaryota; Viridiplantae; Streptophyta; Magnoliopsida; Amborellales; Amborellaceae
Description: MIR8565 microRNA precursor family
Rfam family: MIR8565 microRNA precursor family
Source: Rfam by way of RNAcentral